This 253-nucleotide ribosomal RNA is filed under the name uncultured bacterium. Its description in RNAcentral is "partial 16S ribosomal RNA". It matches the Rfam family "Bacterial small subunit ribosomal RNA", at positions 524 to 776 of the family's 1533-position model. The record is from RNAcentral.
UACGAAGGGUGCAAACGUUGCUCGGAAUCCUUGGGCGUAAAGCGCACGUCGGCGGCUUUGCAAGUCGGACGUGAAAUCCCUCAGCUCAACUGAGGACGUGCAUCCGAAACUGCAAGGCUUGAGUACUGAAGAGGAUCGCGGAAUUCCCAGUGUAGAGGUGAAAUUCGUAGAUAUCGGGAGGAACACCAGUGGCGAAGGCGGCGAUCUGGGCAGAUACUGACGCUGAGGUGCGAAAGCGUGGGGAGCAAACAGG